This 70-nucleotide transfer RNA is filed under the name Caudoviricetes sp. Its description in RNAcentral is "tRNA-Met". It matches the Rfam family "tRNA". Rfam says of the family: Transfer RNA (tRNA) molecules are approximately 80 nucleotides in length. Their secondary structure includes four short double-helical elements and three loops (D, anti-codon, and T loops). Lineage: Duplodnaviria; Heunggongvirae; Uroviricota; Caudoviricetes. The record is from RNAcentral.
GGGAUAGCCACGGUGGCUAGACGGUCUCAUGAGCCGUUUGUAGCGGGUUCGACUCCCGCCCCUAGCACCA